GAGCCAGCUGUUUCUUAGUUUCCCGAAGAGCUGGGAGCAAGAUUCUUUGGGGACCCUCUCCCCUUUUGGAAACAAGGCCACCCUUGGGGCCUUGCAGCUCUAGGCCUAUGCAGCACACAGAGAGCAGAAUUUCUACUUCAGCCAAAUCAGGCUUGCUAGGAAACUGCGUAUCACAGGACUUGGUAAGAGAUGUUCAUGGUAGGCAGUAAGAGCACUGGGCAGAGCCUGCUGUUUCUUAGCUUCCCAGAGAGCUGGAAGCAAGAUGCUUUGGGGCCUCUCUCCCCCUUUCAAAACAAGGCAGCACUUUGGUCCUGGCAAAUCUAGGCCAAUGGAGCACACCCAGAGCAGAAGUUCUACUUCGGCCACAUCAGGCCUGCCAAGAAACUGCAUUUCACAGGCCUUGGUAAGAGAUCUUCCCUAAAGGCUGUAAGAGCACUUGGAGAGCGCGUUGUUUCUUAGCUUCCCAAAGAGAUGGAAUCAAGAUGCUUUGGGGCCACUCUGCCCCUUUGGAAACAAGGCAGCACGUUGGGUCUGGCAGCUCUAGGGCAAUGGAGCACAACCAGAGCAGAAGUUCUACUUCUUCCAGAUCAGGCCUGCCUAGAAAGUGCGUUUCACAGGCCUUGAUAAGAGAUGUUCUCUUAGGCUAUAAGAGCACUGGGCACAGCCAGUUGUUUCUUAGCUUCCCAAGAGGUGGAAGCAAGAUGCUUUGGGGCCUCUCUCCCCCUUUGGAAACAAGGCAGCCCUUUGGGCCUUUCAGCUCUAGGGCAAUGGAGCACACCCAGAGCAGAAGUUCUACCUCAGCCAGAUCAGGCCUGCCAAGAAACUGCUUUUCACAGGCCUUCGUAAGAGGUGUUCCCGGAAGGCUGUAAGAGUACCUGGCAGAGCGAGUUGUUUCUUAGCUUCAAAAACAGCUGGAAGCAACAUGAUUUGGGGCCUCUCUCCCCCUUUGGAAACAAAGCAGCCUUUGUGCCUGGCAGCUCUAGGCCAAAGUAGCACACCCAGAGCACAAGUUCUACCUCAGCCAGAUAAGGCCUGUCAAGAAGCUGCGUUUCACAGGCCUUUGUAUGUGACGUUCCCGGUUGGCUUUGAGAGCACUGUGCAGAGCCAGUUGUUUUAGCUUCCCAGAGAGCAGGAAGCAAGAUGCUUUGGGGCCUCUCUCACACUUUGGAAAUAAAGGCAGCCCUUUGGGCCUGGCAGCCCUAGGCCAAUGGAGUACACCCAGAGCAGAAGUUCUACCUCAGCCAGAUCAGGCCUUCCAAGAAACUGCGUCUCACAGGCCUUUCUCUGUCACGUUGCCGGUAGGCUGUGAGAGCACUGUGCAGAGCCAGUUGUUUCUUAGCUUCCCAAAGAUUUGGAAGCAAGAUACUUUGGGGACUCUCAGCCCCUUUGGAAACAAGGCGGCCCUUUGGGCCUGGCAGCUCUAGGCCAAAGUAGCACGCCCAGAGCAGGAGUUCUACUUCAGCCAGAUCAGGCCUGCCAAGAAACUGCGUUUCACAGGCCUUGGUAAGAGAUGUUCC
RNAcentral lists this long non-coding RNA (1517 nucleotides) under Equus asinus (donkey). RNAcentral describes it as "lncRNA (ENSEASG00005032153.1)". Lineage: Eukaryota; Metazoa; Chordata; Mammalia; Perissodactyla; Equidae. The record is from RNAcentral.